AUGCCCUGAGGGUUGCUGCCGGCCGGGAGCCGCGCACGGGCUGGGCCGCAGGAGCUCUGCUGACUGCACAGGGCUGCCCCGCGGCGCAGAGGCCAGCAGGUGUAUGAAGCCUCCCAUAGCUGGCCUCAUGCCUGCAGUGCCUCAGGCUAGUGUCCUCCCUUCCCUGGGUGCCCAGCAAUGCCCAGUGCCACGAGGAAGCCACUCGGUCCAGUCGCCAAACGCAGACUCGGCAAUGAUGGUGUGACAGGCCAUGUGCCUGAUGGGUGCACUAUUAACUGAGGACAAAGCAAGAGGACACAACCCUACCAGGGGGGCCUAAGUCUCUCUCUUUGCUGGUUAUAAAAGAAUGGAGCAUCUGGACAACGUGUGCAUCACUUUGGUACUCCCCUUAGCCUAGCUCUUGCAUCCCAAAUUCCCAAGCUUAAUCUGCCCCAUGUUACUACUGGCAGUGGUCAUGCCCAGUAGGUGACAUUUGGCCAUCCAGGCAUUGGACACUGCUCUGAGUAGCUUGUGGACAUCAGCAGUUACACAUACCAAUUAGAAAUCCAGCAUGAUUAUUAAUGCUAAAAGCUCCAUUAAAAAGUGAGUGAUAAAUGUAGUUGUUCAGAGAUUAGCCCAUCAUAUGGGAAUCGGAGUUCAGGGUGUAACGUUACUGCAAAAUGUAAGUACCGGAAAGCAGCUCACAUUACUCCCAAGGAAUUUGCCGACUCAGGCCUUCCAAGACAUUUCCAGGUCAUUUUCUAUAUCUCUAUGGCCAAAGAGAAUGCCAACACCUUUGGUUGGGAUGGAAGGGAAGAUUUUUGCUGUCACACAAUGACUCCCAGAGCUGCAGCCAUAUGCUCAAAGCUUUUCAUUUCUCCAGAGCACUGAUGUGGCACUCACAGGGAUGCUCUGGUGCCAGAGGUUGCUGCCUCAUUAGAUCAGAAACUGUUGGAAUGUCUGCGAAAACCCAUGUUUUCCAGAAAAGCCUCCUACACACCAGCUGAUGUGGGAGAUCAUCCCACUGCAGCGUCACACUUGUUCUUACAGUGGCAUUUUCCUAGAGAGCAUUUCAGGACAGAAUUAUUCCAUUUCAGGGUGGAAAUGGGCCAGAUUCUGCACUCACUGAUACCAGACAUACCCAUCAUGAGGCAGACCAGACACAGCAGGAGGAAGGGGCAGGAAAACACGCAAACAUAGCGGCAGCAUCACCUUCAGUACAAUAACUCCAGCUUCUGCUUAAUGCCAGUCGCUUUUGCUCUGAGCCAUGCAGAGAAGCGCCAGCCCUGUGCAAGGAUCUCUUCCCAAGGGAGAAAGGGGAAUGGCUCCAGUUGCUUGGCUUAUUUGUGCUGAAAUGUGGUGAUUUGUGCCCACAUGAUGGAUUGAAUUUCUGGAUUAGUGGGAAGGGACAUUUUUGUGUUUCUAGAGCAGUGCCAACUCCCCAGACCAAGGAGUACUGUUGAGGAGAUUGCCCUGCUACACUCUUCUGGGAGAUGGGCAAAUAUUGCCUGUUCUUUGCAGGAGCACAGAUCAGACCGGACUAGACAAGAUCCAGCCUCCACUGACUUCUGUGGAGGUACCCAGCUCAGCGCAUGCAAGGACAAAUGCUUUGGCCUAGCCUCCAGAGGAAAGCGUUAUCUGUUGGAAUGGGUCCAUCUUUAUGCUCUGAGAUAAUCAUGCCAGCGAUAACCCUUGUCUUUGAC
Molecule: non-coding RNA, 1682 nt
Organism: Struthio camelus australis
Lineage: Eukaryota; Metazoa; Chordata; Aves; Struthioniformes; Struthionidae
Source: RefSeq, a predicted model, not a curated record